This is a non-coding RNA of Paramuricea clavata, 506 nucleotides long. The record is from the annotation of a GenBank genome assembly. NCBI's taxonomy places the organism in Eukaryota, Metazoa, Cnidaria, Anthozoa, Malacalcyonacea, Plexauridae.
UGUCCUUAGGGUAUAACGUCCUAGGACACCUGGACACCCUACUGGCGUAAAAAGAAGAAAAAAAAAGAAAAGAAAAAAAGCCUGAAAAAAAAGAAAAAGGGAUAAAAAGCCGUAAAAGCCUGUCCAUAAUAUUCAUCAAUCUGCCCCACUAUAUAAAAUAGUCAUCAAUUUAAAAAAGGUAAUGAGGCUGUAUGGUAUUUCUUUGUGUUACAACUCUUGGCCAUUAACCGUAGGACGAUGAUAAAUUUUUGCGCAUUUUCAAGGCCUCCCCCUUUUCCCCCCAUUCAAUGUUGACGUUUCGCCUAUAUUUAUGGUUUAACAUAUUGUACAGACAAAAUGUUACGUGUAGUAGAAAUGUGGGAAAGCAACAUUGAAUGGGGGGAUUGGGGGGAGGUACAAUAUAAUUUUAAAACCCAAGUAUAUUAAAAAGUGGCGAAUUGGUUUAGUCGUUCUACGAACUUUUGGCCAAGAUUGUAGUCUUUAGCAUACCUAGCCUGCGAACAGGC